CCCUGUCGGGUUUUACCUCCCCCUGGGAGAGCUCAGCCCUGGAUCCCGGCGUGCGGCGGAGCCUCUCUGGAGCCCGGACGGGACAGCCCACCAGGGUCUGCUUCUGUGAGGGGCCGAGGCGUCAUUCCGCGAAGCCUUUUCCUUGCUGUCGCCAUGUGAAGAAGGAUGUGUUUGCUUCUCCUUCUGCCAUGAUUGUAAGUUUCCUGAAGCCUCUCCAGCCAUGCCAAACUAAUUGGAAAAAACUACUUUAAAGUUCAUAUGGAACCAAAAAAGAGCCCGCAUUGCCAAGUCAAUCCUAAGCCAAAGGAACAAAGCUGGAGGCAUCACACUACAUGACUUCAAACUAUACUACAAGGCUACAGUAACCAAAACAGCAUGGUACUGGUACCAAAACAGAGAUAUAGAUCAGUGGAACAGAACAGAGCCCUCAGAAAUAAUGCCGCAUAUCUACAACUAUCUGAUCUUUGACAAACCUGAGAAAAACAAGCAAUGGGGAAAGGAUUCCCUAUUUAAUAAAUGGUGCUGGGAAAACUGGCUAGCCAUAGGUAGAAAGCUGAAACUGGAUCCCUUUCUUACACCUUAUACAAAAAUCAAUUCAAGAUGGAUUAAAGACUUAAACGUUAGACCUAAAACCAUAAAAACCCUAGAAGAAAACCUAGGCAUUACCAUUCAGGACAUAGGCAUGGGCAAGGACUUCAUGUCUAAAACACCAAAA
Molecule: non-coding RNA, 715 nt
Filed under: Pan troglodytes (chimpanzee)
Lineage: Eukaryota; Metazoa; Chordata; Mammalia; Primates; Hominidae
Source: RNAcentral